CGCACUGCGGCGAUCCGGCGGAGGCGGUGCUCUCCUGGCAUCAGCGCUGCGGCUGGAGGCACUGCUGGUGCUCCUGUCUGCUGUCCACUGCCACCUUGGCCUGUUUUUGCCACCCUGGCGCCCCGAACUCUGUGCCGCCGCACCCUUCACCCAGUCUUGGGACGGCUGGCGCUAAGAAUUCAUGCUAUGACCUUCGAUUCAGCCAGGAGGUGACACCAAGCUCGAUCAGAAACUAUGCCACUGGUGAAGAGGUAUAUUGAGCCCUGCGUGGCCCAGUGAGGUUACUAGAGAAUUGGAAGAGUCUCAAAUCAGCAUCCUGCACAUGGUUAUCAAACCAUUGUGAAGUCUUAGUAAGUGGUCAGUGGCUCUGGUGGGCUUGCCCAGUUAGUGUCUUAACAGGCACUAGGCAGUUACUUGAUAUUUUCCCAUUAUGAUAUGAAAAAGUUUUUUGUUUUUUGUUUUUUUAGGGCUGUACCCGUGGCAUAUGGAGGUUCCCAGGCUAGGGUUCAAAUUGGAGCUGUAGCUAUAUGCAGGCCUACACCACCCACAGCUAUAGCAACUUGGGAUCCGAGCUGCGUCUGCAACCUACGCCACAGCUCACGAGAGUGCUGGAUCCUUAACCCACUGAGAGAGGCCAGGGAUUGAACCUGUGUCCUCAUGGAUACUAGUUGUGUUCUUAACCCACUGAGCCACAAUGGGAACUCCAAAAAACAGUCUUUAUUUCAGACUAGAGAGUGAAGAGCCUAAUCUCUCUCUUUCCCCGUCUCCCAUUUUUGCAAUGAUAUCUUGCCCACCAUAAUAGUUGGUGUAGAAAAUGGAUUUGAAUCCAAGCCCAAUAUUGUUUCUUCCACCUAGUGCUUCCUCUAGAUUCCACCUAAGUCCAAGGAGGCGAUGUGAGACAGAAACAUUUUUAUUCCACAUGGAAAGAUUAUAAUAGCCUCUGACAUUGUGCUCCUCUGAUGAAGGAAAUGUCCAUGGUAUAAAUUUUUAUUGUGCAUAAAAUCACCUGGGAAGCUUGUUAAAAAUGCAGAUUCCUAGGCAGCUAGAAGCCUUGUCAUUGGUCCAGAGCAACAUGAAGACCUACCUGUCACUUACACUGAGGCUUCCUGCCCAGUGGGUUCACCAGCAAGCCAGAAGGAAGCAUCACUGCCAUGGAUGUCCUUGUGAGGCAGUUGUGAAGCCUUGACAGGUUAUCAAACCAAGAGAAGUCCAAAACUCAGCCAAGAAUGGCCACCCAGUCUUCAGCCUCCAUUUGACUUUCCAUCUUGUCCACUGAGGAUAGCAGAGUUAAGUCAGGAAAAGAAAAUGGCUGUCCACAGAGGGAGAAUUGAUCACUGUCUGUUCUUCAAAGAUGCUUUUCUGGCCGUGGUUGGGGCUAUUAGUGCUCACUGCCUGGACAGAGACCUGUUUCAACAGGGAGAGCUUUAGAAACAACUUGUCAAGUUUUCACCACAAAUACCAUUGGAGUUACAAUUGGAGUCUCACUGAAUUAUACAGUAAUUUUUGGAGAGCUAUCAUCUUUAUAAUCUUCUCAUACAUGAAUGUGUCUUGGCUACUUGUAGAUGUUGCAUUGCUGCUGCCGCUGCUGCUGUUACUACAACUACAAUUGCUGCCAGUUGCUCCUUGCGUAGGACCAGAGUGAUCAUUCAUCAGAAACCUCAUCCUCACAGUCUGGGGUUUGUUCCUGUGGCUGGUAUUCACAGUUUUCCCCUUCCAACUUUACCUCAGCUAUCCCCUUACCUACAUUAACAGGUAGGCUUCCAGUUUAUGUUCACCACCCAACAGGCUCAUAUUUCCUUUUUCUUAUUUAGUGUGAUUAAUCAUUAGUGCUUCAUGAGAAGCCUUCUUUCUGUUAGAAAAUGUGACAACUAGAAUACAAGUUAAACCAUUCCAUUCAGGGCCCUACAGUGAGUCAUGUAAGCUCCCUUUUAAAAUGAGAGAAAGUUGAGCAUGCUUGCAGACUAUAAGGCAUGUCUUUGUACGUGUGGAAGAGAAAUGAUAACCUAUUGCUCUUAGAAUACGGGUGGAGGCCUAUCCUUAGAUGAAAGGAGUUACCUCUUCACUGAGGUAUAGUGAUGAUAAGAAUAGGAGUUGGGAAGAGUACCUGAUAAAGGUGUUGCAGAUUUGUAAUUGUAGAGGUGGAUGGUGGAUAGGCAGCUGACCAGGGAUCAGACUGUGGACAAAAGAGUCUAAGGAAUAUCCAGGCCAAAAGGCUGGAGCGGAGCACUUAACGGCAUAUGGAAGUGGGCAGCUAGUUUGAAAGUUGAUUAGAGAGGAAAAUAUAAAGUGGUCUUGGGCCACUGUCACAAUUAACAUUCGGUUGCCUGGAACUGACCUCGAUUGAGGGAUGGACAGCUAGGAAGAGAGGUGUUACACAGAAAUGGAAUUGAGGAUCCAGAGUGUAUAUGGAAGGAAGUUAGUUCAGAAGUGAGUUCAAAGUCUGUACAGAAAAAGAGGCCUUAGUGUGUUCAAGAUGGAUGUUGAGUAGUUAGAAAACUGGAAUGAUAGGACCAGUAUCAGAAAGUGAACUUUGGAAUGUUAAAAUUUAAAAACUAGAGCAAUCAAGAUACUUGUGAUACUAGGAUGUCAGAUGGUCAUUUACCUGGAUAUUAAAGUGACCUGGGAUUAUAGUAAAAGCUGGGCUAGGAAUGAGACUGUGAGCUAGAUAAAAUAGGCUUUAGUAACUGAGUAACUAUCUGGAGAUUGGCACAUGACAACUCUGCAGAUGCAAGAGAAGAGAGGAUGUAGUGGGAUAGUAGUACAAGUCUCAAAGAGUGGUGAGGAUUAUUAGAAGAUACAGAAACUGUGCUUCGCACAUUAUACUGAAGUUUUGGCUGGCAGAAUGCACAACUAAAAUGAUCCUCUCCUAUAUCAAGUGCUUGUUCUAUUUGCUGUGUGCCAUCUGUUUAUCCCUUUGGGGUCACAUUUUUUGUGCGAAAAUGAGCCACAAUCCCAGGCAAGGAUAGCUAGGCUGCUGACCCUCAGCACUGGUAGAAUCCUCUAGCCAUCUACUAACUCUGGAAGAGCAACAGGCUGGUCGUCUGGAAGUAUCAUAAAGAGAUUUCUUUAGGAUUGAAAUUUUUCCUUGACUUUGAUGUAACUUCAUUAUGUGAUAUAAGCUUUUGUUGGCUCUGUUUCAUAAUGUGCUUUGGCUUCUGAGUCUCUAAGUUGAGAAGUGAACUAAUACUGCCCUUUGGGAAAAACAGGCACAGUACUUUAAAAAUACACACUGAUUAAUCGGAACAAGACACGGUCAUAUUAUCUAAAUGAGUUUUCAAGAUAAAGAGUAGGCAAAAGAAAGUGCACAUCAAUGGGUGAAUAACAAAACCACUUUGUAAAAGCCAUUUAGAGUCAGGAUACUUCCAGUUUGGUUGCCAUAUUAUAGGUGUUCCCUGUGCUUUUGGGAAGGAAGGCUGGAUUGAUGCAAAGAGAUGGCUGUUAGGACUCGGAAGUUUAGGAAGAGAGUCUCUGUAAACCCUCUGAUAUUGCUUGCAGCCAUUUUUGUUUUGCAGUAGUCUUUAAAUGAGUCAAUAUUCCUAAAAAGCUAUAGAGCCUAUAGACCAGGCUCUCAGAUAGCCCAUUCCCUCUUGUGGGGCUGCUCUAUAUUUGUUCCUUAGGAGUUGCUGGUAGAAGACUUCAUGAAGGAGAGAAGAAAAGGAAAAAAUCAGAGGAUGACUACAGCCUCCUUCAUCUCAGCUUUGCAAAGCAUUACUCAACAGAGGGAUCACUCUCUUGAAUACUCUCCAGACCACAGGUUGCUCUUUUGAAUUGCAUGCUUAGCCCUCUCAGCAACUUUCUCUUUUUAGAAGUUGUAUUGUAUGUGUAUAUAUGAACUAUCACUUCCCAUAAAGAGUACCCCAUGUAGUCAGAAAUUGCUGGAUCCCCAGUGCUGGAAUAUAGGCCACCAGAGAUGAGUUUGAGUUUCAACAACAUAAGAUCCCAACUUUAUGGAAGGAAGGCAGUUAAUUGACUUGAAAAUAACCUCUUUCCCUUGCAUUCAAAUUCUUUUUCCUUCAGUUCCAUCACUGAUUAAAGCAAACAAAAGCCAUGACUUUCUCCUUCCACUGGCAUUUCUCUGGUCCCUGUAUGCCACUGUGUGUCACUUUUUCAUUAGCACUUCCUUUUCCAUCUCUUAAGACUCAGGGAGGCAUGAAUGGGUUGAAUUGUCGUUAACUACCUCUGCAGUUGGGGAAUACUCAUGUUAAUCAGCCUGAUGCCAACUCCUACCUUAUCUCCUGACAGUCGCUGGAGCAGCUGUAGCCACGGCCAACAACCAGGCCCCAGCCCCAGGAUUUAUUCCUAAUAUCUCAGCUGAUUAUGAAAUGCCAGUAGGAGGACUUGUAUCCCUUUCUAACCUGGUCAUCAGAGAUUAGGAUUUGUCUUAGGAAUAUGGUAUAUAAGGACACAAAUCUUAUGGUUAAAUAGUAAACAGUGUCAGGAGUCCUGGUUACUCUUUGUCUCUUGGAGAUGGGCAAGAGAGGGCACGAGGGAAGUGAAAAGUUAGUACCUUUCAAAUACAUUCCCAUGAUUCCUCAAGACAGCCCAGUCACACCUUCUGGUGCCUUGUCCUAUGUCUAGCCUCUUCUUUUUUCAGAAUCCUUCUAGUGUACUCCUUGCUCUCUCUAGCCACUUUUCAUUUCCUGCACCGCCCCCCAUGGGUUUCAGCAGGUGUGUUUUCUUUUUCUUUCCUCCAGGCCAUCAGUCUAUUACAGGCUCUAACUGGGAGGAGCCUUAUUGUGAAUGAAGCUUCGGUGGGUGCUAGGAGUAACACCGUGUUUCUCUGGAUAUGAGAAGAAUGGAGGGCAGAGAGCAAGGGAAGGAAGCUAUGAAAUAUUGGAGUAACAAAUGCUUGACGUUUUAGUGGGUAUUGGACCUAGAAGCCUAUAUGAUUGAAGGAAGCAAACCUGAGAGGUCUGAUGUUUGUGAGUGAAGAUAGGCGUGAACUCCUUAUUGCAAUUAAAAAUGGAGUGAGGGGGAGGAGAAAAAUGACAGAAAUCAUAAGAUCCAUUACUUCAGUGAAGGAAGCACUGAGACUUGCUUCAUAAACCUGUAAUUUUUAAAGGUAGAUUGAAGAUAAGUUGUUGUGCUGCACUAUUUCUAUUCCUACCCGUGAGAGUUACUGCCAGCCACUCUUCUCAGGUAGAUCUGCCUUUAUGGAAAUUUCUGUUGACCCACGUAAAGAAACAACCCAGAAAAACAUUUGCAACAUUGAAGAACUCUGGUUCAGUGACAGGGUGUUAAAGGAGUUGAGGAUAGAGGAAAUAGCUCAAGUAGUACCAAAUAGCUCAGGUUGGCUUUUUUUUUUCUUUUUAAUAGGAUGAUUGGGCCAGAGACAGUGGGCAGAAUGACUUCAGGCAACCCCAAACGCCAGAUAUGGCAUAAGGAAACAGUUUAAGGAAAAGGUCAAUCCUUGGACCUAGUAUUUGUGAUGCAAUAUCUUAAAUUAAAAGGAAGAGCUGCUUUGGAGAAGGGUUUUAAAAGAUUGUAUUUCAUAGAAAGAAGAAAGAUUUAGAGGAGAAACUUCCAAUUAUAUAAGAUGGGCAUUAUAACUUUUAAAGACAUCUGUUGCCUACAUGGGUCAUAGAGAUUGAUACCAGUAUCAGCCUGUGGCUGACUAGGCCAGUUUAAGUGGUUUCCUGUUUGAAGAGAGAUGCUGCCAUUCUCUCACUUUGGCAGGUAUUCACCUGCAAUGAGUCCAGUACCUGGAGGAGCAAGAAAAAAACAAGCAUCCAGGGGGACAAUAGUAUAGCCUUCUGAGUUAAGAUAGCAACUGAAAAGAUCAUGGGAUUGGCUGCACUGGGCUGGGCUUGUUUGUUUUUUCAAAAUAAAAAAGUUUUCUUUUUGAUGACAAAAGUAAGAGAUGAUCAUUGUUUAAAAAUAAAGUGAAAAGUAUAAAAGUAAAGAGUAAUGUGCUUCCUUUUACUCUAAAAAAAGUGUAUAUAACACAGUUUAAAAAUAAAAUUGACAUUGUAUUUUCUGACUUUUCUCAUUUAAAAAUAAGCAUUCUUCCAUGUCAUUAACAUUAUUUAAAAAUACAAUAUUGUGUCAUAUUUCAUAUGGAUCUAACAAAAUUUAUUUAGAUCAUCUCAUGAUGCAGAUAUUUUGGAUGUUACCAAUUUUGCUUAUAAAAUUCUGAUGAACAUAUUGUAUAUUCACCUUUAUAUGCAUCUCUAUUUCUUUAGAAUUAAUUCCUAGAAUUGGAAUUACUGAGUUUGAAUUAUGAGAGCAUUAUUAGGGCACUGAAAGGUACUGUUAAAUUAUACUGAAUAUAGUCACACAAAUUACAUUCCCAUCAGUGGUGCAUGAAUGUGCUAUUUCUCCACACAUUCAUCAAAACAUGCUCUUUCCUUUAAUAAAUCUCUGAUCAUUUGAUAGGUAAAUUUCCAUUUGUUUUAGAGAUUGUUUCUAAUUUACAUACACUAAAAUUCACUCUUACAGUGUAUAGUUCUAUAGUUUGACAAGUAUAGAGUCAUGUGUUCUUCCAUUCUAGUACCAUACAGAACUGUUUCAUCUCUAGUAAUUUCUCUUGAUUGCACUUUUUGUUGUAAAUCCCUUUCCCCAUCUUCAGUCCCUGGAAACCACUUGUUUGUCAUCUAUCCCUAUGGUUUUUGCCUUUUACAGAAAGUCAUAUGGAUGGAAUCAUGCAAUAUGUAGACCUUUUUGAUCUGGCUUCUUUCACUUAGUAAAAUGAAUUUAAGUAUCAUCUACAUUGUUUUUAGGUAAAUUAAUAUUCAUUCCUUUUUAUUUUUGUACUUCAUUGUAUGGCUAUACCAGUUUGUUUAUCCAUUCAUUAAUGGAUAGACAUGUGAGAUGUUUCCAUUUUUAGGCCAUUAUAAAUAAAGUUGCUAUAAACUCUCAGAUGCCAGUUUUGUGUGAAUGUAAAUGUUCAGUUCAAUAGGGCAAAUGCCUAAGAGUGAAAAUGAAGGCUAAAACUUCUCCAAAGUUUCUAUAUCAUUUUGCAUUCCCACCAUAAGUAUUGAGUUCUGGUUGUUCCACUUCUUCCACAUCUUAACCAGCACUUGGCAUUACUGUAUUUUUUUAAUUUUAGUCAUUGAAUAUGUAGUGGUAUAUCAUUGUGGUUUUAAUUUGCAAUGCGCUAAUGGUAUAUGAGUUUGAGCAUCUUUUCAUACACUUAUUUGUCAUCUGAAUGUCUUAUUUUGUGAAGCUUCUGUUUGAAUAUUCCCCCCCCCCUUUUAGCGGGUGAUUCUUUUUUUUCUUACUGUUUAGAUCUCCCCCCAUGUAUAUACACACACACACACACACACAUUAGAUCCUGGACCAGGGAUCAAGCCCAAGCAUAGCAGUGACAACAUUGAAUCCCAAGUGCUAUGCCACCAGGGAGUUCCUUGAUUUCUAUAUAUAUAGUCUUUUUAGGGCUGCACCUACAGCAUCUGGAGGUUCCUAGGCUAGAGACUGAAUUGAAGCUGUAGCUGCUGGCCUACACCACAGCCACAGCAACACCAGAUCUGAGCUGUGUCUGUGACCUACACCGCGGAUCACGGUAAUGCCAGAUCCUUAACUCACUGAGCAAGGCCAGGCAUCAAACCUGUGUCCUCAUGGAUACUAGUCAUUCUUUUCUGCUGAGCCAUGACAGGAACUACUUUAUCAUAUAUAUUGUUUGGAGUGGAUUCUCCAAGCCUGUGCUUGUCUUUCUAGUAGCAGUGCCUUUUUCAGAGCAAAAUGUUUAAUUUUAUGAAGUCCACUUUGUCAAAUAUGUGCCAGUAUAAAUUGGGAUGGGUAUAAAUGAAAUUAAAAUGUUCUAAGUCACUUACAUUAUCCAGGUGGUGUUUAAUGAUAACAUAUUUAUUGUGGAAGUCAGACUCUAAGGAUAAAUUUAGAAGCUCUGGCCUAAUCCUUAUACUUUGUAAUAUCACUUUUGAUGUGGGCAGGAUCUGUGUCUUGCUUCUAACCAAUAAACUAUGGCAAAGAUGA
Molecule: non-coding RNA, 7932 nt
Organism: Sus scrofa (pig)
Lineage: Eukaryota; Metazoa; Chordata; Mammalia; Artiodactyla; Suidae
Source: RefSeq, a predicted model, not a curated record